This is an RNA transcript of Cygnus olor (mute swan), 892 nucleotides long. It is a transcript of the gene named retinoic acid receptor responder 2, with no coding region annotated. Lineage: Eukaryota; Metazoa; Chordata; Aves; Anseriformes; Anatidae. The transcript has 4 exons. The record is from RefSeq and is a predicted model, not a curated record.
CGGGGGCGGAGCGGGGCCGUGCCGGGAGGCAGCGGGGCGAGGCGCGGCGGCGACGGCGAUGCGGCGGGUGCUGGCCCUCGCCUUGGGCUUCGUGGCCCUGGCGGCCGCCAGCCAGACCCCGCUGCAGCGGCGGGUGGUGCGGGACGUGCUCGAGUACUUCCACGGCCGGGGCAGCGUGGCCUUCCUCUUCAGGGAGCACUCCCUCGAGGGGGCCGUCGAGCGGCAAGACUCGUCGGGGACGUUCGUCCAGCUGCGCGUCAACCUCGCGCAGACCAACUGCAGGAAGAGGGCGCAGAGGACGCAGAACUGCAAGACCGUGGAGAACAGGAGGAAGCCGGCCUGCCUGGCUUGCUACAAGUUUGACAACAGCGAUGUCCCCAAGGUGCUGGACAAGUACCACAACUGCGGCCCCAGCCACCACCUGGCCGUGAAGGUGAGCUGUCCCCGGGGGGUGUCCCGGGGCUGGCAGGGGGCUCUGUCCCUGGCUGCUGCCUGCAUCCGUUCACUCACGUGUCCCGGAGGUGCUCCGGGGGCUGGCACGUCCCGCACGCCCCCCUCUGCGGUGCCAGCCCCCCGCUCUCUGCCCCGCAGGAGAUAAAGCAGCGCGACGAGGCCGAGUGCAGGGCCGUGGAGGAGGCCGGCAAGUCGACGGACGUCCUCUACCUCCCCGGCAUGUUCGCCUUCUCCAGGGGGAUGCCGGCCUAGGCGGCUGCACCCGGCCACGGCCAGCUGACGCCGCGUCCACCAGCCCGGAAGGAUGCUGACAUGGGGCCAGCCCGGCCCCCCGAGCUUGCUGCCCCCCAGCGCUGUGCAAUGAAGGGAGGGUCGUCCUGCAGGUGGCCCCCCCACGCCUAGGCAGUGUCCGCAUGCACCAGUAAACCCCAGCUCUGCC